GAGUUUGAUCCUGGCUCAGGAUGAACGCUAGCUACAGGCUUAACACAUGCAAGUCGAGGGGCAGCAUUUUAGUUUGCUUGCAAACUGAAGAUGGCGACCGGCGCACGGGUGAGUAACACGUAUCCAACCUGCCGAUAACUCCGGGAUAGCCUUUCGAAAGAAAGAUUAAUACCGGAUGGCAUACGAAUAUCGCAUGAUAUUUUUAUUAAAGAAUUUCGGUUAUCGAUGGGGAUGCGUUCCAUUAGUUUGUUGGCGGGGUAACGGCCCACCAAGACUACGAUGGAUAGGGGUUCUGAGAGGAAGGUCCCCCACAUUGGAACUGAGACACGGUCCAAACUCCUACGGGAGGCAGCAGUGAGGAAUAUUGGUCAAUGGGCGAGAGCCUGAACCAGCCAAGUAGCGUGAAGGAUGAAGGCUCUAUGGGUCGUAAACUUCUUUUAUAUGGGAAUAAAGUUUUCCACGUGUGGAAUUUUGUAUGUACCAUAUGAAUAAGGAUCGGCUAACUCCGUGCCAGCAGCCGCGGUAAUACGGAGGAUCCGAGCGUUAUCCGGAUUUAUUGGGUUUAAAGGGAGCGUAGGUGGAUUGUUAAGUCAGUUGUGAAAGUUUGCGGCUCAACCGUAAAAUUGCAGUUGAAACUGGCAGUCUUGAGUACAGUAGAGGUGGGCGGAAUUCGUGGUGUAGCGGUGAAAUGCUUAGAUAUCACGAAGAACUCCGAUUGCGAAGGCAGCUCACUAGACUGUCACUGACACUGAUGCUCGAAAGUGUGGGUAUCAAACAGGAUUAGAUACCCUGGUAGUCCACACAGUAAACGAUGAAUACUCGCUGUUUGCGAUAUACAGUAAGCGGCCAAGCGAAAGCAUUAAGUAUUCCACCUGGGGAGUACGCCGGCAACGGUGAAACUCAAAGGAAUUGACGGGGGCCCGCACAAGCGGAGGAACAUGUGGUUUAAUUCGAUGAUACGCGAGGAACCUUACCCGGGCUUAAAUUGCAACAGAAUAUAUUGGAAACAGUAUAGCCGUAAGGCUGUUGUGAAGGUGCUGCAUGGUUGUCGUCAGCUCGUGCCGUGAGGUGUCGGCUUAAGUGCCAUAACGAGCGCAACCCUUAUCUUUAGUUACUAACAGGUUAUGCUGAGGACUCUAGAGAGACUGCCGUCGUAAGAUGUGAGGAAGGUGGGGAUGACGUCAAAUCAGCACGGCCCUUACGUCCGGGGCUACACACGUGUUACAAUGGGGGGUACAGAAGGCGGCUACCUGGUGACAGGAUGCUAAUCCCAAAAACCUCUCUCAGUUCGGAUCGAAGUCUGCAACCCGACUUCGUGAAGCUGGAUUCGCUAGUAAUCGCGCAUCAGCCAUGGCGCGGUGAAUACGUUCCCGGGCCUUGUACACACCGCCCGUCAAGCCAUGAAAGCCGGGGGUACCUGAAGUACGUAACCGCAAGGAGCGUCCUAGGGUAAAACUGGUAAUUGGGGCUAAGUCGUAACAAGGUAGCCGUACCGGAAGGUGCGGCUGGAACACC
This 1515-nucleotide ribosomal RNA is filed under the name Bacteroides ovatus str. 3725 D1 iv. RNAcentral describes it as "bacterial SSU rRNA". It matches the Rfam family "Bacterial small subunit ribosomal RNA". The record is from RNAcentral. Lineage: Bacteria; Pseudomonadati; Bacteroidota; Bacteroidia; Bacteroidales; Bacteroidaceae.